AAACCAUCAGCAUAUAUUUAUUUUAUCAUAAUCAGAGUAGCAAAAUUAUAUAACUGUGCAUCAAACAAUACAUAAAUUCAGAAUACAGCCUUUAUAUAUAACAAUACCCUCAAACUGGUGUAUAGAUGCAAAAGUGUUGAUAUGCAUGUAUCUCCUGGAGUUCACUAUAGUUGGAAUUUUUAUCGUGUCUAUCCAUAUUGACUCCUGGACAUCAUGUAAACUUUACAAAUCAAAAUCCUGAUUUCCUCUCCUUUAUUAAAUGGCCAGCAACGUCAAAAUGUACAAAUGUUUAUUUUUGUCAUCAAUUCCAGAUACAAUUGCAAUUGGACCUCAUGGGUUUUCCAACGGACAAUUCAAUUCCCUUGAUAAUCAACCAAAGAAUUUCAAGCACAUAUCUGCAGUGCAAAACCUAAGCUUGCACUUGGAUUAAGUAACAAUGAUGUACAACGAUUAUUCUCAAGUGAAAUUUAAA
RNAcentral lists this unclassified non-coding RNA (472 nucleotides) under Hevea brasiliensis (rubber tree). The record is from RNAcentral. Lineage: Eukaryota; Viridiplantae; Streptophyta; Magnoliopsida; Malpighiales; Euphorbiaceae.